Molecule: long non-coding RNA, 134 nt
Organism: Haliotis rubra (blacklip abalone)
Lineage: Eukaryota; Metazoa; Mollusca; Gastropoda; Lepetellida; Haliotidae
Exons: 3
Source: RefSeq, a predicted model, not a curated record
CAGACAACUGUUGACACUGCAACCCAAGUGGCACCAUGUUCAAGUGAGGAACCAUAUUCUGACAUACGGCCAAUUAGAUCUGUUCCAAGGGAGAGGUCAAAGAGAUGUUGACAACGAGAACAGAAGGCAUUAAU